ACACACAGACACACACAGACACAAAGCCCAUUCCAGGUUAAUACACACACACACAUCUCUUUCCCGGGUCAUUAAGAAAAUAAAUACGUACCUUCUGUGUCAAUAAAAAUCCUAAACCUAAGGUUUAUGUUCCGUCUGCACAGAGUCACCUCUAGUCUCAGGGAUGCUAACUGCUCAGGCUUCCCUGUCCCUCACAGCAAUGAGACAUUACAUUUAGUAUAGUAGCAUAUAGUAUUUAUUUCCUUGCUUCGCUAAUAAGUAAGCCAGGACAGUGGAAGGGGCAAAAAUAUUUUUUUAAAGGAUGAAAGUUCAACAGAUAAGAGAAAAUAAUAAAGAAACCAUUCACGGAGUAAAUCACUCAAAAGUUACACCAACGUAGUGUGGAAUCUGUUUCCACCAUAAGGUCUUCCUCUGUCAAAAUGAAAUGCCAGAUCAGGAAUAACUAGCCAUGUUGUGUAAAGGCUGAUAAAAGUCAUUGAUAUCUAACUGGACAGGUUUGAAGGAUAUCAACCUUGAGUUAAACUUUACUGUCAACCCAGGAUAUUAUCAGUAACCCAUAGUCACAACAACAGGUCACCCCAGGAUAUUACCAGUAACCCAUAGUCACAACAACAGGUCACCCCAGGAUAUUAUCACUAACCCAUAGUCACAACAACAGGUCACCCCAGGAUAUUAUCACUAAUCCAUAGUCACAACAACAGGUCACCCCAGGAUAUUACCAGUAACCCAUAGUCACAACAACAGGUCACCCCAGGAUAUUAUCAGUAACCCAUAGUCACAACAACAGGUCACCCCAGGAUAUUACCAGUAACCCAUAGUCACAACAACAGGUCACCCCAGAGAGAGGAUAUUACCAGUAACCCAUAGUCACAACAACAGGUCACCCCAGGAUAUUAUCAGUAACCCAUAGUCACAACAACAGGUCACCCCAGGAUAUUACCAGUAACCCAUAGUCACAACAACAGGUCACCCCAGGAUAUUAUCAGUAACCCAUAGUCACAACAACAGGUCACCCCAGGAUAUUACCAGUAACCCAUAGUCACAACAACAGGUCACCCCAGGAUAUUACCAGUAACCCAUAGUCACAACAACAGGUCACCCCAGGAUAUUAUCAGUAACCCAUAGUCACAACAACAGGUCACCCCAGGAUAUUAUCAGUAACCCAUAGUCACAACAACAGGUCACCCCAGGAUAUUAUCAGUAACCCAUAGUCACAACAACAGGUCACCCCAGGAUAUUAUCAGUAACCCAUAGUCACAACAACAGGUCACCCCAGGAUAUUACCAGUAACCCAUAGUCACAACAACAGGUCACCCCAGAGAGAGGAUAUUACCAGUAACCCAUAGUCACAACAACAGGUCACCCCAGGAUAUUAUCAGUAACCCAUAGUCACAACAACAGGUCAACCCAGGAUAUUAUCAGUAACCCAUAGUCACAACAACAGGUCAACCCAGGAUAUUAU
Molecule: long non-coding RNA, 1462 nt
Organism: Oncorhynchus keta (chum salmon)
Lineage: Eukaryota; Metazoa; Chordata; Actinopteri; Salmoniformes; Salmonidae
Exons: 8
Source: RefSeq, a predicted model, not a curated record